This 947-nucleotide ribosomal RNA is filed under the name uncultured bacterium. RNAcentral's name for it is "bacterial SSU rRNA". It matches the Rfam family "Bacterial small subunit ribosomal RNA", at positions 8 to 956 of the family's 1533-position model. The record is from RNAcentral.
AGAGUUUGAUCAUGGCUCAGAACGAACGCUGGCGGCGUGCUUAACACAUGCAAGUCGCGUGCGCAGUUUCGUAGCAAUACGGGAUGGGCGCACGGCGCACGGGUGCGUAACACGUGGGCAAUCUGCCCUCCGAUGGGGAAUAACCCCGCGAAAGCGGGGCUAAUACCGCAUAACAUUCCUUGGACGAUGGUUUGAGGAUUCAAAGCAGUGAUGCGUCGGAGGAGGAGCCCGCGCCCGAUUAGCUAGUUGGUGAGGUAACGGCUCACCAAGGCAAUGAUCGGUAGCUGGUCUGAGAGGAUGGCCAGCCACACUGGAACUGAGACACGGUCCAGACUCCUACGGGAGGCAGCAGUGGGGAAUCUUGCGCAAUGGGCGAAAGCCUGACGCAGCGACGCCGCGUGGGGGAUGAAGCUUUUCGGAGUGUAAACCCCUUUCGACUGGGACGAAUGCCCGCAAGGGAGUGACGGUACCAGUAGAAGAAGCCCCGGCUAACUACGUGCCAGCAGCCGCGGUAAGACGUAGGGGGCCAGCGUUGUUCGGAAUUACUGGGUGUAAAGGGUUCGUAGGCGGUGCGGCAAGUCGGGAGUGAAAUCUCUGGGCUUAACUCAGAGGCUGCUUCCGAAACUGCCGUGCUUGAGUGUGGGAGAGGCGCGUGGAAUUGCAGGUGUAGCGGUGAAAUGCGUAGAUAUCUGCAGGAACACCCGUGGCGAAAGCGGCGCGCUGGACCACAACUGACGCUGAGGAACGAAAGCUAGGGGAGCAAACAGGAUUAGAUACCCUGGUAGUCCUAGCCCUAAACGAUCAGGACUUGGGGUGCCGCCCGUUCGGGCGUCGUCCCGGAGCUAACGCGUUAAGUCCUGCACCUGGGGAGUACGGUCGCAAGACUGAAACUCAAAGGAAUUGACGGGGCCCGCACAAGCGGGUGAACAUGUGGUUUCAUUUCGACG